Molecule: ribosomal RNA, 714 nt
Filed under: Paracalliope novizealandiae
Lineage: Eukaryota; Metazoa; Arthropoda; Malacostraca; Amphipoda; Paracalliopiidae
Description: partial small subunit ribosomal RNA
Source: RNAcentral
UGUUAUGAUUGACAGGUUGAGAGUUCUUUCACGAUUCAGUGGAUGGUGGUGCAUGGCCGUUCUUAGUUGGUGGAGUGAUUUGUCUGGUUAAUUCCGAUAACGAACGAGACUCUCUCUUGCUAACUAACAACACGAUGCRCACUCGAACGUUCGCGUUCUUGUGYGUGUGAACGAUUGCUUCUUAGAGGGAUUUACAGCAGCCAAACACAGCCGAAUCGAGAAACCGAGAGCAAUAACAGGUCAGUGAUGCCCUUAGAUGUUCUGGGCUGCACGCGCGCUACAAUGCCUGGUUCAGCAGGUGUUUGUGCGAUACCCAAACGUACAUACCUUCUCUGAGAAGAGCUGGGUAAUCCUGUGAAAGCCUGUAUUGUAGCGCGUUCACGCGUGUACUCUUCUUGUGUUGAUUCGCGCGUGCCCUCACUUGUGRGUGGUGCGUGCCGUUUCUUCGCRGUUGAGAUGCAUUGCGUGUCAUUUGUGCACAUAUGCUUGGGGCAUGCUUGGGCCUGGGACUUGGAAUUCUUUCCCACAAACGAGGAAUGCCUAGUAGAGGCCAAUCACGGAGUUGGCCGCGACUGAGUCUAUGCCCUUUGUACACACCGCCCGUCGCUACUACCGAUUGUGGGUGCACGAGUGAGAUCUUUGGACUGUCUGAGCCUCGUGCGUGUGUGCAAAUGCACGUAUCGAGUUUUGCAAUGAUGGAAAGAGGCUCAAACC